RNAcentral lists this long non-coding RNA (800 nucleotides) under Linum usitatissimum (flax). Its description in RNAcentral is "long non-coding RNA (LUSI_LNC002483)". The record is from RNAcentral. Lineage: Eukaryota; Viridiplantae; Streptophyta; Magnoliopsida; Malpighiales; Linaceae.
ACUUCUAAUUGAGCCAUACUUAUAACUGUUUUUUUGUCUUCUUGCUCUCUUUGGAAUCUUGGUACAUGUGAGAAAAGUUGGCUAGUUAGACAAUGAUUAUAUGUUGCUGGUUGCUGUUGGGAGCGAUUAGUGAUGGAAUGUGGAUGUUUAAUCCUUUAGACAAUAGUUAGUUGAGGUUUAGACAUUUUUCGGGUUUGAGCUUUAAUGGUGUGUUGUUUGAUUUUUAUGGAUUGUGUUUUUUUUUUGACGGAUUGUCGUGAAUUUUACAAAUUUUGGGGAUAAAGAAUUAUUUGUAACGGGUUUUACCCGUUAGUCUGUUGCCUCAGCGGGGUCGGGCUUGGGCUUCAUUUGAUACCUGUCCAUGGUCCGGGCCAGGCUUUUCUUAACCCGGAUUUCUAUACGGGCGGGGAACGGGGGGCCUGCAUCCGGACCCGUUCAACCCGUAUGCCAAGUCUAGGUGGAAGCGACUGAAAUAGACUAAGUAAGAAGUAGGAUGAUCUAUUUGCAAUCUCGUAUUAGUUUUCGCUAUAAAGCCUAAGAUCUUAUAAUGGUGAUAGAUAUCAAUCAAUUAAUAAUGAAUAUGUUAUGAAUAUUUCACAUUUAUAUAUUUGAAUGUCACUGUGUAACUACAUCAUUGAGUAACUCCUAUGCAUUCAUCAUGUAUUUUAUUAUUCUCAUUAUAUUGUAAUUAUGUUAGGUUGUGUAGGUUACAAUCUCUUGAGCCUAUAAAUAGAACUUUUAUUUGUAUCAUUUUUUUGACACCUCAAUAAAAUACAUCCUCUUCUCCAUAUUCUUAUGUU